This 450-nucleotide ribosomal RNA is filed under the name uncultured bacterium. RNAcentral's name for it is "partial 16S ribosomal RNA". It matches the Rfam family "Bacterial small subunit ribosomal RNA", at positions 28 to 506 of the family's 1533-position model. The record is from RNAcentral.
GAUGAACGCUGGCGGCGUGCCUAACACAUGCAAGUCGAGCGGCAGCGAGGGGUGCUUGCACCCUGUCGGCGAGCGGCGGACGGCUGAGUAACGCGUGGGAACGUGCCCCAAAGUGAGGAAUAACUGCCCAAAAGGGUAGCUAAUACCGCAUAUUAUCUUCGGAUCAAAGGAUUUAUCCGCUUUGGGAGCGGCUCGCGUCGGAUUAGGUAGUUGGUGAGGUAAUGGCUCACCAAGCCGACGAUCCGUAGCUGGUCUGAGAGGAUGACCAGCCAGACUGGAACUGAGACACGGUCCAGACUCCUACGGGAGGCAGCAGUGAGGAAUCUUCCACAAUGGGCGAAAGCCUGAUGGAGCAACGCCGCGUGCAGGACGAAGGCCUUCGGGUUGUAAACUGCUUUUAUAAGUGAGGAAUAUGACGGUAACUUAUGAAUAAGGAUCGGCUAACUACGU